AACAGAACAAAGAGCUCCACCCCUCGUGCUUUUCAAGUUACAGGCAAUUCUAUGUGUCAAAUGUCCCCUCCCCUUUCGGAAUUCGAAAGACUCUAACAAAAAUCAAAUCGCGAAAUCGUGAUUUGUUCAAAGCACCGGAACUAAUGCUGCUUGUUAUCUCACGCAUCCCGUUGUAUCAUGACAGAUCAACACUACUACUACCACCAGGCUGCAUCUGCAGAAGCGUGGCACAGGUGGCGUGGACACCGCCUCCGUGGGUGGAGUAUUCGACAUCUCCAACGCUGACCGUCUGGGAUCCUCUGAGGUAGAUCAGGUCCAGAUGGUGGUGGAUGGUGUCAAGCUCAUGGUGGAGAUGGAGAA
Salmo salar (Atlantic salmon) is the source of this 360-nucleotide non-coding RNA. NCBI's taxonomy places the organism in Eukaryota, Metazoa, Chordata, Actinopteri, Salmoniformes, Salmonidae. The record is from RefSeq and is a predicted model, not a curated record.